RNAcentral lists this ribosomal RNA (381 nucleotides) under Acanthamoeba genotype T4. RNAcentral's name for it is "SSU rRNA". It matches the Rfam family "Eukaryotic small subunit ribosomal RNA", at positions 743 to 1084 of the family's 1831-position model. Lineage: Eukaryota; Discosea; Longamoebia; Acanthamoebidae. The record is from RNAcentral.
CCAGAUCGUUUACCGUGAAAAAAUUAGAGUGUUCAAAGCAGGCAGAUCCAAUUUUCUGCCACCGAAUACAUUAGCAUGGGAUAAUGGAAUAGGACCCUGUCCUCCUAUUUUCAGUUGGUUUUGGCAGCGCGAGGACUAGGGUAAUGAUUAAUAGGGAUAGUUGGGGGCAUUAAUAUUUAAUUGUCAGAGGUGAAAUUCUUGGAUUUAUGAAAGAUUAACUUCUGCGAAAGCAUCUGCCAAGGAUGUUUUCAUUAAUCAAGAACGAAAGUUAGGGGAUCGAAGACGAUCAGAUACCGUCGUAGUCUUAACCAUAAACGAUGCCGACCAGCGAUUAGGAGACGUUGAAUACAAAACACCACCAUCGGUGCGGUCAUCCUUGGC